AGCGGCGGACGGGUGAGUAAUGCCUGGGAAAUUGCCCUGAUGUGGGGGAUAACCAUUGGAAACGAUGGCUAAUACCGCAUAAUAGCUUCGGCUCAAAGAGGGGGACCUUCGGGCCUCUCGCGUCAGGAUAUGCCCAGGUGGGAUUAGCUAGUUGGUGAGGUAAUGGCUCACCAAGGCGACGAUCCCUAGCUGGUCUGAGAGGAUGAUCAGCCACACUGGAACUGAGACACGGUCCAGACUCCUACGGGAGGCAGCAGUGGGGAAUAUUGCACAAUGGGCGCAAGCCUGAUGCAGCCAUGCCGCGUGUGUGAAGAAGGCCUUCGGGUUGUAAAGCACUUUCAGUCGUGAGGAAGGUGGUGUAGUUAAUAGCUGCAUCAUUUGACGUUAGCGACAGAAGAAGCACCGGCUAACUCCGUGCCAGCAGCCGCGGUAAUACGGAGGGUGCGAGCGUUAAUCGGAAUUACUGGGCGUAAAGCGCAUGCAGGUGGUUAGUUAAGUCAGAUGUGAAAGCCCGGGGCUCAACCUCGGAACUGCAUUUGAAACUGGCUGACUAGAGUACUGUAGAGGGGGGUAGAAUUUCAGGUGUAGCGGUGAAAUG
RNAcentral lists this ribosomal RNA (598 nucleotides) under Vibrio sp. N05ML5. RNAcentral describes it as "bacterial SSU rRNA". It matches the Rfam family "Bacterial small subunit ribosomal RNA", at positions 94 to 688 of the family's 1533-position model. The record is from RNAcentral. Lineage: Bacteria; Pseudomonadati; Pseudomonadota; Gammaproteobacteria; Vibrionales; Vibrionaceae.